RNAcentral lists this long non-coding RNA (534 nucleotides) under Ananas comosus (pineapple). Its description in RNAcentral is "long non-coding RNA (ACOM_LNC005766)". The record is from RNAcentral. Lineage: Eukaryota; Viridiplantae; Streptophyta; Magnoliopsida; Poales; Bromeliaceae.
UUCCUCUGCAUUAUUCCCCAUAAACUUAUCACGUGACAACGUUCCCUUUAUUGCUGAGUGUGGGCUCCACCAUUUCCAUUUUCUUUGCUUGAACCGAAUCGAGUUGUUGAGUGUGGGCGCCACCUGAACUGGCUUAAGUUCUCCACAUGUUUUCAUCUUUCUUUGCUUGAACCAAACAUUGUUUCCCUCUCUCUUUGCUUGAAUCAAACUAGGUCAACCUGCUUCAUUGGGCCUAAUCGGUCCAACUGCUCCACAUGUUUCUAUCUUUGAACCAGAUUUCUCUUUUUCUUUACUUGAACCGAACCGAUUAUAGUUGAGUGUGAGCUCUAACCCAAACCAGCUCAAGUUUUCUUAUUUCGUUGCUUGGGCUCCCUUUUAUGAUGUUUUUAUUUUUCAAUUUUACCUACCUGGGAUUCUAUCCAGUAUUUUUUUUCUUUUUAAUUAACGUAAUUUUUUUUUCGGGAAUGUAACGAUGAUUUGGAAUGGUUGUUCUACGUUUGUUGGCUUUUGUGUUGCUUUCGUGCUACUGUAUGU